GAUGAACGCUGGCGCGCUUGCUUAACACAUGCAAGUCGAACGGAGUGCCUUUGAAAGACGAUUCGUCCAAUUGAUAAGGUUACUUAGUGGCGGACGGGUGAGUAACGCGUGAGGAACCUGCCUUGGAGUGGGGAAUAACACAGUGAAAAUUGUGCUAAUACCGCAUAAUGCAGUUGGGCCGCAUGGCUCUGACUGCCAAAGAUUUAUCGCUCUGAGAUGGCCUCGCGUCUGAUUAGCUAGUUGGUGGGGUAACGGCCCACCAAGGCGACGAUCAGUAGCCGGACUGAGAGGUUGGCCGGCCACAUUGGGACUGAGACACGGCCCAGACUCCUACGGGAGGCAGCAGUGGGGAAUAUUGGGCAAUGGGCGCAAGCCUGACCCAGCAACGCCGCGUGAAGGAAGAAGGCUUUCGGGUUGUAAACUUCUUUUCUUAGGGACGAAGCAAGUGACGGUACCUAAGGAAUAAGCCACGGCUAACUACGUGCCAGCAGCCGCGGUAAUACGUAGGUGGCAAGCGUUAUCCGGAUUUACUGGGUGUAAAGGGCGUGUAGGCGGGAUUGCAAGUCAGAUGUGAAAACCACGGGCUCAACCUGUGGCCUGCAUUUGAAACUGUAGUUCUUGAGUACUGGAGAGGCAGACGGAAUUCCUAGUGUAGCGGUGAAAUGCGUAGAUAUUAGGAGGAACACCAGUGGCGAAGGCGGUCUGCUGGACAGCAACUGACGCUGAGGCGCGAAAGCGUGGGGAGCAAACAGG
This 753-nucleotide ribosomal RNA is filed under the name uncultured bacterium. Its description in RNAcentral is "bacterial SSU rRNA". It matches the Rfam family "Bacterial small subunit ribosomal RNA", at positions 28 to 776 of the family's 1533-position model. The record is from RNAcentral.